AGAGUAGCGCACGGGUGCGUAACGCGUAUGCAACCUGCCUCCAACCGGGGAAUAGCCCCUCGAAAGAGGGAUUAAUACCGCAUAAAAUAGUGAAUAGGCAUCUAUUUACUAUUAAAACUACGGUGGUUGGAGAUGGGCAUGCGUGACAUUAGCUAGUUGGUAGGGUAAUGGCCUACCAAGGCUACGAUGUCUAGGGGGUCUGAGAGGAUGUCCCCCCACACUGGUACUGAGAUACGGGCCAGACUCCUACGGGAGGCAGCAGUAGGGAAUAUUGGUCAAUGGGCGAAAGCCUGAACCAGCCAUGCCGCGUGCAGGAUGACGGCCCUAUGGGUUGUAAACUGCUUUUGUACGGGAAGAAACCCCACUACGUGUAGUGGGUUGACGGUACCGUGAGAAUAAGGAUCGGCUAACUCUGUG
This 417-nucleotide ribosomal RNA is filed under the name uncultured bacterium. RNAcentral describes it as "bacterial SSU rRNA". It matches the Rfam family "Bacterial small subunit ribosomal RNA", at positions 92 to 507 of the family's 1533-position model. The record is from RNAcentral.